RNAcentral lists this ribosomal RNA (460 nucleotides) under uncultured bacterium. Its description in RNAcentral is "partial 16S ribosomal RNA". It matches the Rfam family "Bacterial small subunit ribosomal RNA", at positions 338 to 795 of the family's 1533-position model. The record is from RNAcentral.
CCUACGGGAGGCAGCAGUGAGGAAUAUUGGUCAAUGGACGCAAGUCUGAACCAGCCAUGCCGCGUGCAGGAAGACGGCUCUAUGAGUUGUAAACUGCUUUUGUACGAGGGUAAACGCAGGUACGCGUAUCUGUCUGAAAGUAUCGUACGAAUAAGGAUCGGCUAACUCCGUGCCAGCAGCCGCGGUAAUACGGAGGAUUCAAGCGUUAUCCGGAUUUAUUGGGUUUAAAGGGUGCGUAGGCGGUCGGAUAAGUUAGAGGUGAAAGCCCGAGGCUCAACUUCGGAAUUGCCUGUGAUACUGGUCGGCUAGAGAGUAGUUGCGGUAGGCGGAAUGUAUGGUGUAGCGGUGAAAUGCUUAGAGAUCAUACAGAACACCGAUUGCGAAGGCAGCUUACCAAGCUACUUCUGACGUUGAGGCACGAAAGCGUGGGGAGCAAACAGGAUUAGAUACCCGGGUAGUC